CGUAGUCAACAUGCCCAGGGGACGUGGAUAACCUCGGGAAACUGAGGAUAAACCACGAUAAGUCACUACUUCUGGAAUGGGUAAUGACUCAAAUCUACAUGGCCCCUGGAUUGGACUGCGGCCGAUCAGGCUGUUGGUGAGGUAAUGGCUCACCAAACCUGUAACCGGUACGGGCUCUGAGAGGAGGAGCCCGGAGAUGGGCACUGAGACAAGGGCCCAGGCCCUAUGGGGCGCAGCAGGCGCGAAACCUCUGCAAUAGGCGAAAGCCUGACAGGGUUACUCUGAGUGAUUUCCGUUAAGGAGAUCUUUUGGCACCUCUAAAAAUGGUGCAGAAUAAGGGGUGGGCAAGUCUGGUGUCAGCCGCCGCGGUAAUACCAGCACCCCGAGUGGUCGGGACGUUUAUUGGGCCUAAAGCAUCCGUAGCCGGUUCUACAAGUCUUCCGUUAAAUCCACCUGCUUAACAGAUGGGCUGCGGAAGAUACUAUGGAGCUAGGAGGCGGGAGAGGCAAGCGGUACUCGAUGGGUAGGGGUAAAAUCCGUUGAUCCAUUGAAGACCACCAGUGGCGAAGGCGGCUUGCCAGAACGCGCUCGACGGUGAGGGAUGAAAGCUGGGGGAGCAAACCGGAUUAGAUACCCGGGUAGUCCCAGCUGU
Molecule: ribosomal RNA, 652 nt
Filed under: uncultured archaeon
Lineage: Archaea
Description: bacterial SSU rRNA
Rfam family: Archaeal small subunit ribosomal RNA
Source: RNAcentral